Molecule: ribosomal RNA, 480 nt
Filed under: Enterococcus faecalis
Lineage: Bacteria; Bacillati; Bacillota; Bacilli; Lactobacillales; Enterococcaceae
Description: bacterial SSU rRNA
Rfam family: Bacterial small subunit ribosomal RNA
Source: RNAcentral
GCAGUCGAACGCUUCUUUCCUCCCGAGUGCUUGCACUCAAUUGGAAAGAGGAGUGGCGGACGGGUGAGUAACACGUGGGUAACCUACCCAUCAGAGGGGGAUAACACUUGGAAACAGGUGCUAAUACCGCAUAACAGUUUAUGCCGCAUGGCAUAAGAGUGAAAGGCGCUUUCGGGUGUCGCUGAUGGAUGGACCCGCGGUGCAUUAGCUAGUUGGUGAGGUAACGGCUCACCAAGGCCACGAUGCAUAGCCGACCUGAGAGGGUGAUCGGCCACACUGGGACUGAGACACGGCCCAGACUCCUACGGGAGGCAGCAGUAGGGAAUCUUCGGCAAUGGACGAAAGUCUGACCGAGCAACGCCGCGUGAGUGAAGAAGGUUUUCGGAUCGUAAAACUCUGUUGUUAGAGAAGAACAAGGACGUUAGUAACUGAACGUCCCCUGACGGUAUCUAACCAGAAAGCCACGGCUAACUACGUGCC